UGACCGAUCAUGACGACAUCGAACCACCGCACGACUCAUCUUCGACCGACCACGUCCUGAGCGAACUACAGCUCUUCGGUUACCGUCCAUUCGACGACCAGCCCGAUCCGAGACCGCUUCCCGAGGGCAAGAUGAUCACCGGCGCGGUGGCUGACAUCUUCGACGCCCUGGUCGCGACCCUGAGCGACACCCGGCUUGAACCGGAUCUCGAGGAUCUGCUCUGGUC
Molecule: unclassified non-coding RNA, 226 nt
Filed under: Hevea brasiliensis (rubber tree)
Lineage: Eukaryota; Viridiplantae; Streptophyta; Magnoliopsida; Malpighiales; Euphorbiaceae
Source: RNAcentral